ACGGGUGAGUAAUGCCUAGGAAUCUGCCUGGUAGUGGGGGAUAACGCUCGGAAACGGACGCUAAUACCGCAUACGUCCUACGGGAGAAAGCAGGGGACCUUCGGGCCUUGCGCUAUCAGAUGAGCCUAGGUCGGAUUAGCUAGUUGGUGAGGUAAUGGCUCACCAAGGCGACGAUCCGUAACUGGUCUGAGAGGAUGAUCAGUCACACUGGAACUGAGACACGGUCCAGACUCCUACGGGAGGCAGCAGUGGGGAAUAUUGGACAAUGGGCGAAAGCCUGAUCCAGCCAUGCCGCGUGUGUGAAGAAGGUCUUCGGAUUGUAAAGCACUUUAAGUUGGGAGGAAGGGCAUUUACCUAAUACGUAAGUGUUUUGACGUUACCGACAGAAUAAGCACCGGCUAACUCUGUGCCAGCAGCCGCGGUAAUACAGAGGGUGCAAGCGUUAAUCGGAAUUACUGGGCGUAAAGCGCGCGUAGGUGGUUUGUUAAGUUGGAUGUGAAAUCCCCGGGCUCAACCUGGGAACUGCAUUCAAAACUGACAAGCUAGAGUAUGGUAGAGGGUGGUGGAAUUUCCUGUGUAGCGG
Molecule: ribosomal RNA, 583 nt
Filed under: Pseudomonas sp. StFRB391
Lineage: Bacteria; Pseudomonadati; Pseudomonadota; Gammaproteobacteria; Pseudomonadales; Pseudomonadaceae
Description: bacterial SSU rRNA
Rfam family: Bacterial small subunit ribosomal RNA
Source: RNAcentral